CGCGGCAAUCCCGCAUACGUCCCCCGGGGGUACUCGGGGGAGAAAGCACGGCAACGGGCGCUGCAGGGGGAGCUCGCGGCCCAUUAGCUAGUUGGCAGGGUAACAGCCUCCCAAGGCGACGAUGGGUAGCCGGCCUGAGAGGGUGAACGGCCACACUGGGACUGAGACACGGCCCAGACUCCUACGGGAGGCAGCAGUAGGGAAUCUUCCACAAUGGGCGCAAGCCUGAUGGAGCAACGCCGCGUGAGUGAAGACGGCCUUCGGGUUGUAAAGCUCUGUCUGUCGGGACGAAGACCGGGACGGGAGUCCCGGGGAGCCGGUACCGACGAAGGAAGCCCCUGCAAACUACGUGCCAGCAGCCGCGGUAAGACGUAGGGGGCAAGCGUUGUCCGGAAUUACUGGGCGUAAAGGGCGUGUAGGCGGUAAGAUACGUAGCGGUUUUAAGCCUCCAGCUCACCUGGAGGAGGGCGGCUAAACGGUCUCACUCGAGGGCAGGAGAGGUGCGUGGAAUUGCUGGUGGAGCGGUGAAAUGCGUAGAGAUCAGCAAGAACACCAGUGGCGAAGGCGGCGCACUGGCCUGUCCCUGACGCUGAGGCGCGACAGCGUGGGGAGCAAACGGGAUUAGAUACCCCGGUAGUCCACGCCGUAAACGAUGGAUACUAGGUGUCGCGGGGGUCCACCUCGCGGUGCCGGAGCUAACGCACUAAGUAUCCCGCCUGGGGAGUACGG
This 729-nucleotide ribosomal RNA is filed under the name Sulfobacillus sp. RNAcentral's name for it is "bacterial SSU rRNA". It matches the Rfam family "Bacterial small subunit ribosomal RNA", at positions 159 to 885 of the family's 1533-position model. Lineage: Bacteria; Bacillati; Bacillota; Clostridia; Eubacteriales; Clostridiales Family XVII. Incertae Sedis. The record is from RNAcentral.